CCUUCUUCAGGGCGAACAGAAAAAUUAAAGCUGUUCGUUAAAUAGUAUAGAGCAGAACAUAGCUUAGCAUAGUUUUUGAGGAAAUAGAAUUGUUGGUGUGUAAGCAACAAAAUUAAAUUCAUAGUUUCAAUCAAUAAUCAUCUAUUAAUUUAAUUUUUAUUUAACUAAAUAAAGUUGCUCCCAAGAAAGUCGAUGCAUAUCACAGUUAAAAUAUUGCAAAUAACACCUUAGCUAUCCUCUAAGACAACUUGGCAACAGCGAUAUUCCACGUAGGCAUAGUUUCAUUAAUUCAUUACUCAAGACUCAAGUUUCAAUUUUUACCUAGAGCUCUAAGGGAGAGCACGGCGUGAGUUUUGUUAAUAGGAUUAUUUCAUUCAUUAGCCUGCAAAGAUGCAGGUCUUCAAUAAAAUAUGUACGCUAGAACACAGUAAAAUAACUAAAAAACGUAGUGUUUUGACCAAAUACCUAAAAUAGCCAAAGAUGCUGAAAAUAUUACUGGAUUUUUAAAAUUGCACCUUAUAAGAUUUCUAAAUAGCAUUGGAUUCAAGGUUUUGACUAUGCGAAUGAAUACCUAAGAAAGCUUAAUCCAGCAAAUUUGUAUUGGAGUAACUCAUCAACAGGGUUUUUGACUAUGAAACUGAGAACUCCUAGAAAUAUUCAGCUAGCAUAUCUAGCAUGGAUUAUUCAAUCAAAAGGCUUUUGACUAUGAAAAUGAGUAUUCCUAGAAAUAUUCCGCUAGCAUAUCUGGAUUGGACUAUUUAACCAAAGGAGAACAAUGAUUGAUGGGAUAGACUUACAGAUGUAGGAUAGAUGUGAUGGUAUAACCUCAACCGAUCAUUUCUUAGAUUUCAAGCAACAAUUUUCUAGGUUGAUCCUGUGGUUUAAUUAAGUAUAACUAAUGCAUUGGCCUUAUCAGUUAAUUUCAACUUAUCAGAAUAAAUAGUGGUUAAAUAUUUA
This is a long non-coding RNA of Anthonomus grandis grandis, 957 nucleotides long. RefSeq lists it as uncharacterized. NCBI's taxonomy places the organism in Eukaryota, Metazoa, Arthropoda, Insecta, Coleoptera, Curculionidae. The record is from RefSeq and is a predicted model, not a curated record. The transcript has 6 exons.